UCAACCCUGUUUCCAGAAACUGCCGCAAUGCGCUCCUCGUAGCUGCACAAAUCCGGCGACCUUAAGCUCCCGGCCGCUGCCGCCCGGAGAUUCGGCGCCGUAUUCGCGUCCUGCUCGUCGACCCCAGCUCCCCAGUUCAAUUCCUUCCACUCCCUCGCUGACGUUCGCGAAUCCCAUGCGGCGCCGAGGGGAGCUGCGCGUGGAGCUCUACCCCGUUGACGACGACGCGUCCACGAGCGGCUACGCCGCCCACCACAAGUAUUUGAUUUCCUCCAUCCAGCCUCUGAUUCGCCCCGCUCGCGAGCGCGGUAUUCCCAUGAUGAGCUCGUCGUCGCCACGCAUCCUCUCAAUCCUCGUCCCUGGACGCCCUCUGCCAGAACUCUCUUCCGCGCUGCUGUAAAGGGAACGGCGGGUGGCGUACCUGGCCACCAGAGCGAUCUCCAAUUUCGUGGAUCCUCUCUUAGCUUCAAGGAACCUACGAAGAAAUAAUUCCCAAGCAGAUUUUAAAUAGUGGCCCGUCCGAUACCUGGAUGCUAUGGCAAUAUCAGCGAUUCUGUAAUUGUGCUGCAAAUCAGCGGUUCUGUUUUUUAAAUAUUGCAAUAACAUCGAUUCUGUAGGAUUGUUUCAAGAUUGAUCUUUAGGUACAUGUUGUUUAAUGACAGUUGCAGCUAUACAGUUUCUAGGGUCUUGCUGUCCUGCUUGUUGGAAAUUGCAAAUACAUAUCUAGGAGUAGAUUAACAGCAACACUAAUAAUUCUGUUCGUUGUCCUGCUGUAAUGUAAUGUUAGUGGUGAUUUGGAACUUUGCAAGUGGCAUGCUUAUGAGUAGAUAUACAUAUCUGGCGAUACUGCUUCACCCAUGAUUGUCGCAAUUUGCCACGUUAAUCACAUAGUAGGCUUAUAUGAUAUAUUUAUUGCUCUUUAAUUUUGGGUUCUUCUCCUUGAAUAUUAUGUGACCCUGGGUGAGGAAGAUAAUUGUUUUCCAAGUUAUUAUUGAACAAAGGACCCCUCAAGGAACUACUUUUUUGUCGUUCACAAUAGUAGGAUAUUGUUAUUGUGCCGAUUCAAUCUGACGGACUACUUCCUUUCUCGAAGCAUUGUCGUGGUUCUUUCAAUUCCAAGGGAAAGAAUGUUAAGAAGCUAGAAAAAAGAAUGUUAAGAAGCCAAAAAAAUAUCUGUAUGUAGAGAAAUAAUAAUUGUUGCAGUGUUCAAUAAUCUAGGUUUAAAUUCACGUGAAUCUGCCAACCUUAUGAAUGGGGAUAUUGCCUAUUUUGAGGGGUUUUAAUCUCUACUUGAGCUUACAAAUUUAGCAUCUUUUAUUGAAAAUUCUUGAACAAGCAUAAUCUGUCUUUACUACCCAGGCUUAGAUUCUG
This is a long non-coding RNA of Lolium rigidum, 1371 nucleotides long. RefSeq lists it as uncharacterized. NCBI's taxonomy places the organism in Eukaryota, Viridiplantae, Streptophyta, Magnoliopsida, Poales, Poaceae. The transcript has 3 exons. The record is from RefSeq and is a predicted model, not a curated record.